CCAGAUCUAUUACUUCCAACUGA
Molecule: microRNA, 23 nt
Filed under: Ascaris suum (pig roundworm)
Lineage: Eukaryota; Metazoa; Nematoda; Chromadorea; Rhabditida; Ascarididae
Description: asu-miR-750-3p
Gene: asu-miR-750-3p
Source: miRBase by way of RNAcentral